UACAGAGGGUGCAAGCGUUGUUCGGAAUUAUUGGGCGUAAAGCGCGUGUAGGCGGCUUUGCAAGUCGGGCGUGAAAGCCCUCGGCUCAACCGAGGAAGUGCGCCCGAAACUGCAGAGCUUGAGUACCGGAGAGGAUGGCGGAAUUCCCCAAGUAGAGGUGAAAUUCGUAGAUAUGGGGAGGAACACCGGUGGCGAAGGCGGCCAUCUGGACGGAUACUGACGCUGAGACGCGAAAGCGUGGGGAGCAAACAGG
This 253-nucleotide ribosomal RNA is filed under the name uncultured bacterium. RNAcentral describes it as "partial 16S ribosomal RNA". It matches the Rfam family "Bacterial small subunit ribosomal RNA", at positions 524 to 776 of the family's 1533-position model. The record is from RNAcentral.